Molecule: long non-coding RNA, 2965 nt
Filed under: Panax ginseng (ginseng)
Lineage: Eukaryota; Viridiplantae; Streptophyta; Magnoliopsida; Apiales; Araliaceae
Description: long non-coding RNA (PGIN_LNC014579)
Source: RNAcentral
GGACAGAAUUUAUUCCAUAGAAAUUAAGUUAUUUCCUAAGUAAAAUUUCGUCAAUUAAAAGUAAGUUUUUAAUUGUUGAGGAGCAGAGAAGCAGCUAAGCGAUUAAAAGAAUAAGAAAACUAACGAAGAACUCUAUUGCUCUCUUCAUCUCAUCUGCCUCUCCUUCGAACCUUCACUCCUGCCCUCUCCCUCUCCCUCUCCUCUCCCUCAUAUCCCUCUUCCUCCUCAUCCCUCUCCUCUUUCUUUCCCCUCUAUAUCUUCUCUCACUUUAUUCCUAAUUUUGAAAUAAAAGCCCUAAUUUUCAGAGGUGGCAUUAUUUUCCGGCGAUGGCGGCGGUUGAUUUGUCCAUCUUCUCCUCCAUUGGGGUCUUACAUUACAUCUAAUUAAAGGUUAGUCUUCAAUUUGAGUAUUAUCGAUUUUGUUCUCCGAUUUGGAUAUGUUUAUCAUUGAAUUGUGGUUUGUGUGCUGAUUACUAUUAUGAGGCUCAAAAUGUCAGUUUUUUAUAUUGAUGUUCAUGUUUGAAAUUGUUCUACCCAGUUGGGGCAUUGAAUUUGACAUGGAAAAUUGGGCGGAUUCCCAUGAAAUUCUAAAAUGGGUUUUCAAUAUUUGAUUCUCAUCUGAAUAUUCUCAACCGGGGUUAACAAAUUCUGGCUCAUAACAACUUUUUCUCAACUGGGUUUGUCUAGUUUUGUGUAGAAUUGGCUUUUGAUUACAAUAUUGUGUACGAAUUAUGCACAUAAAUGAGGGUACUAUUUGAGCAGUAAAGUGAGUUUGCAAAUAUGUAAUGUCGUUUGUGCUCUGCUGCACCGCCUGCAAAUCUCAAAAAAAAUAAAUUAAAAAUACAAAAGUUAGAUGUACGAAUCUGGGGAGUAACUGAGAGUCGAGUAGUGCAUUGGGCUGAUGCACGAGAUGUGACAACUGCCAUAUGUUACCACCCAAAUGGCAGCAUAGCAUUUAUAUGUUAAACUACUAGUAUCAGUCUGUUAGUUUGCACUUUAGGAUGAUUAAUUGAUGAUAAAAUUAUUGUCUUUUUAUGAAACAGCGGUUUGCAGUUGGUUCCAUUUCUGGAACCUGCAGCUUCUAUAAAGCAUCACGUAUAUUUUUCUACUACAUGUUGCUCUUAUUGCUUAUCAUUGGUUCACAUUUUAUUGGGGGAGUGUGCUUAAUUGGAAGUUGUGGUUCUAUAGGCAGUGAUCUUCUACUUAAUGUUGAAAUACAUAUUUAUUGGGGGAGUGUGCCUAAUUUAAUCUCUUGAAUGUUGUUAACAUUGAGUGGCAUUAUUUCUUGCAGUUUUCACCGGACUCUCAAAAAGUUAUGAUAACAUUAGAGGACUCCAAAAUACGUAUAUAUAUUUGAUGGGAUCAAUAUUGUUCAUAAAUACAGAGGUACUGCAAUGCUUAAUCUGCAAACUUCUGAACAAUUCCUAGUGUUUCUAUUUCAAACAGACCAUCCACUUUAUCUCUUAUUUUCUGGUUUGGAGUCUUAUUCAUGCUUACUCAUUCUUUUUAUAACUAUUUUAUUUACUUUUCUUUCUUUAAAUCAUGUUCUGCUACAAUUUUUCGAAAUGAAGCCUAAAGCUAUAUAUGGAGCUAUCUUUCGAUAGUCAUGGAACUAUAAUAGAUAUUAGCAUCUUACAUGCACCAUGAGCAAUCUUCAUAUCUAAUUUGUUAUUAUCAAACAAGUUGUGUUAUAUUCUUUAUGUACUCAACCUCUUAACAAUUUUGCAUUUGCUUGUAGUGUGUUUGUCUUUGGAGUAUUAACAUUGUUAAUUUAUAUUUGGUAUGCAUUCCUUGUACUCUUUUAUAAUUGGUUUGGGUAUUGAAUGAUGUGAUCUAAAACCAGUAAACUGAUGUCAUCUAAAACCAGUAAAAUGAUGUCAUCUAAAACCAUUAAUAAGCAAUCAAAUUAAAAUAGUGAGGAAAUUAAAUUUUUUACACAUAUUGAUUUUCAUAGACCAACAUUUAUAGAAGGGUCACAAAGUUGUUACCUUUUAGUUCUCGUUAGCUAAAAGUAUUGUAAAGCUGGUUUUGGUCCAAAUCUGAUCUUGAGCAUUAUUGUAGUGCAUUAAGUAAAUGCUACUAGUAAACAAACAAUGUUAGAAAUAAAUAUGCAGAUUUUUACAAUAGAACAGUCAGGACUCCUCAUGCACAAUUUUUAUUGGAUAUGUGUUCUGCACAUUAGACCUGCAAAAUGUGAAAUGUGCAACAAAUCGAGCUUGUUUUAGUAACUGUAAAUUAUAGGACAAUAAUAUCUGUUGUAAUCUUUCUCCUUCAUCUCUAAUAAAAUUGUCUUCUUAUAUGAAAAAAGACAAUGGUAUCUGUUUCUUCAAGAAUUUUAUGAAAAAGUCGCAUUCUUGUGAACAUAUUUCUAGUAAGUGAAAAUAUUUAAUGUUUUGAAGUAACUCAUCUUGGUCUGUAUGAGAAGUUGAGGACUAAGGAAAUGUUCUUGUAGUUCUGUUAUGUGGGUUCUCUUUCUCUCUUUCUUGUGUUUUUAAAUAAAUAUAAAUAUUUAUAAAUGGAGUAUUCUUUCACUUAUUGACUUGUAAAUUCAUGAGCUUCUUUCCUAAAAUCCAUUUUUUCCUAUUUUUGUUAUAUGUGUGGCAUAUUUUUUUUCCUUAUUCUAUUUUAUGUAACAGAGAGCAGGCGAUCUUCCAUUGAUAUUUUCUUGAAGGCAGCGGGAUACCUUGAUUGCGCAGUCCGACAUGUUCUACCACAGUUGCCUCUGGAAUUCAGUUUUACUGAGUUUUUAAAAGUAUAAGAUCUAGGUUAUCAUUUGCAUCCUUUGCAUUUUCUUUAUGCAAUGGACAUGAGUAAGAAAGUUUCAGAAUUAUAUUAUUAUUAUUAUGCUAGAUUACUAACCAUAUUGUUAUAUAUAAUAUAUCCGAUCAUUGUUUAUCAACAUGAUAUUAUAUUAUAUAAUCCAGAUAUAUAUUCUGUUCAUUAAUUUCUAAAUAUGGUUAUACAAG